RNAcentral lists this ribosomal RNA (244 nucleotides) under Aeromonas salmonicida subsp. salmonicida. Its description in RNAcentral is "partial 23S ribosomal RNA". It matches the Rfam family "Bacterial large subunit ribosomal RNA", at positions 2709 to 2925 of the family's 2925-position model. The record is from RNAcentral. Lineage: Bacteria; Pseudomonadati; Pseudomonadota; Gammaproteobacteria; Aeromonadales; Aeromonadaceae.
CUGGUGUUCGGGUUGUCACGCCAGUGGCACUGCCCGGUAGCUAAGUUCGGAAUCGAUAACCGCUGAAAGCAUCUAAGCGGGAAGCGAGCCCUGAGAUGAGUCAUCCCUGACCCCUUGAGGGUCCUAAAGGGCCGUUGGAGACCACAACGUUGAUAGGUGGGGUGUGUAAGUGCAGCGAUGCAUUGAGCUAACCCAUACUAAUUACCCGUGAGGCUUAACCAUACAACACCCAAGAAGUGUUCUG